GUAAAACAAAGCAAAGGAAAGGGUUCAUCUUUUUUCUUUUUCAAACAGUUUGUUUCAUAAGUAGGGAAAUUGAUGGAAAAGGUUUGGAUUUUGAUCGAAGGAAUUGGAUGAGAUGAGAUGGGAUGCAGUUCCUGUGAAAAGAGAAAAAGAAGGAAAAAUUGAAGUUAAAAGCUUUAUGGUUGUGUGUUUUUUUGACUUUGGGGGUGUUUGAUUGAUGGGACAAUAAUAUGG
RNAcentral lists this long non-coding RNA (231 nucleotides) under Gossypium raimondii (Peruvian cotton). RNAcentral describes it as "long non-coding RNA (GRAI_LNC005867)". Lineage: Eukaryota; Viridiplantae; Streptophyta; Magnoliopsida; Malvales; Malvaceae. The record is from RNAcentral.